Phragmites australis (common reed) is the source of this 137-nucleotide small nucleolar RNA. RefSeq annotates it as small nucleolar RNA Z248. NCBI's taxonomy places the organism in Eukaryota, Viridiplantae, Streptophyta, Magnoliopsida, Poales, Poaceae. The record is from RefSeq and is a predicted model, not a curated record. The transcript has a single exon.
GCAGCGCAGUGACGACCUUGUGGAACGACGCCGGCGAAAGAGCCACGAGCUCAGUCGUCCACCACCCCGGAGGCGACCUCGUCGGGAACAGUGUCUCGUUGCAAAUCUUGAGCGCGACGGCGUCCGCCGAUCGCCGC